GCGCAGCAGGCGAGAAUACUUUACAAUGUGCGAAAGCACGAUAAGGGAACUCUGAGUGCCUCCUAAGGAGGCUGUUCAGGUGUCUAAAAGCACCUGAAGGAAGGGCUAGGUAAGACCGGUGCCAGCCGCCGCGGUAACACCGGCAGCCCAAGUGGUAGCCACGUUUAUUGGGUCUAAAGCGUCCGUAGCCGGCUGGGUAAGUUCCUUGGGAAAUUUGGCUGCUUAACAGUCAAGCUUUCAGGGAAUACUGCCCGGCUUGGGGACCGGGAGAGGUCAGAGGUACUCCAGGGGUAGGGGUGAAAUCCAUUAAUCCUUGGGGGACCACCGGUAGCGAAGGCGUCUGACCAGACCGGGUCCGACGGUGAGGGACGAAGGCUAGGGGCGCGAACCGGAUUAGAUACCCCUGUAGU
Molecule: ribosomal RNA, 410 nt
Filed under: uncultured microorganism
Description: bacterial SSU rRNA
Rfam family: Archaeal small subunit ribosomal RNA
Source: RNAcentral